RNAcentral lists this ribosomal RNA (540 nucleotides) under Triticum aestivum (bread wheat). RNAcentral describes it as "partial small subunit ribosomal RNA". Lineage: Eukaryota; Viridiplantae; Streptophyta; Magnoliopsida; Poales; Poaceae. The record is from RNAcentral.
AUGUCGCCAUGUGAGAAGCACGGCAAGGCAUCUGAGAGGCUUGUCGCAUUUGAAGGAAUAGACACAGGGAGAAGGUUCCUAGCAUGUGCAGAGCCGGAAGGGCAGAAUUGUGGGUUUGUUGAAUGGGUUGAUCACCAGUGGCCCCCAACAAUGCAAAAUGCAUUGUUGAAGCUGUGGGCCAUGGUUGAAGAUAGCAAGAGUGCUAGGGUGAAUGAUAAUCUUGAAAGUUCUUUCACUAUCCACCAUCUGACAGAAGAGAAGAACAAGCUGGAGGCCAACUAUGACAAGUUAGUCCAAGAUGUGCAUGAACUUAUGAGCUUCCAGGAGGACAGGGUGGUGGAUUUAAGAUAUCUGCAGGAUAACCUUACAUAUCAGCAGCAAUGCAGAAGUGAACUGCUGGCUGAUAUGAAGGCACAGAUGGCAAAGAAAGAUGCAGAGUUUGAGAAGCUUAAGCAGAAUUAUGAAGUGCUACUGAACCUGACAAGAGCACAAGCAACAGUCAUCCAGAACUUGAAGUUGAAGCAUAUUAAAGACAAGUAA